RNAcentral lists this ribosomal RNA (827 nucleotides) under Cantharellus luteovirens. Its description in RNAcentral is "partial large subunit ribosomal RNA". It matches the Rfam family "Eukaryotic large subunit ribosomal RNA", at positions 83 to 923 of the family's 3401-position model. Lineage: Eukaryota; Fungi; Basidiomycota; Agaricomycetes; Cantharellales; Hydnaceae. The record is from RNAcentral.
GUAACUGCGAGUGAAGAGGGAAGAGCUCAUCAUUGGAAUCUGGCAGCGUCUCGCUGUCCGAGUUGUAGAUGAGAAGAGUGGGCCAUCUGGACUGCAUGGUGUCCAAGUACAAUAGGCCGUCAGUGGGACAUCAUAGAGGGUGACAAUCCCGUCCUUGACACCAAUGUACGAGUCCUUUACGAUGCCUAUCUCGGAGAGUCGAGCAGUUUGGGAUUUGCUGCUUAAACAUGGGAGGUAGAUUCCUUCCAAAGCUAAAUACAGGCAAGAGACCGAUAGAGAACAAGUACCGCAAGGGAAAGAUGAAAUAGAACUCUGUGAAGGGAGUCAAAAGACGUGAAAUUGUUGCGAGAGAAGCGAUUCAAGUCAGCGUAGCUGGGCCCAUCAAGCCUCGCGCUUUGGACCAGCUUUGCCAGCGGUCUUGUCCUAGAGACUCCACUAAGGUGCCCUGCCCGGUCUGACGGGCAGACCUCUCCCCUGGGGAGGCCAGCGGCACGGCUGGUGGAAUGGCUUGCAAUCGACCCGUCUUGAAACACGGACCAAGGAGUCUAACAUGCAUGCGAGUAUAAGGGUGGCAAACCCGUAUGCGCAAAGAAAGUGAUAGCCUAUGGCUGUGAAUGACCUGAUGACCAGACAAGCAAUAUCAUGUUCCUCGUACGGUCAUUGCCCAAGUCCCGUGGUCAGAUCCCAUGGACAUGGAGUUGGAGCGUGCAUGCUAGGACCCGAAAGAUGGUGAACUAUGCCUGGACAAAGCGAAGCCAAAGGAAACUCUGGUGGAGGCUUGUAGCGAUUCUGACGUGCAAAUCGAUCGUCUGAUCUGGGUAUAGGGG